UCGUAGUCGAGUCGGUCUCUACAAAACGACGCCAUUUUGGGUGUCUGGGGAGGCUUGGUGAAACGACGUCGUUUCACUAGGCUAUUUAAGACAAAAAAAAUAUAAAAAAUUCAUUCUCUCCUUUCUUUUAAAAAAAAAAACAGAAAUCUCUUAAAAAAAAAGCUCUUCCCUCCCCAGCUCUCCGGCCAAGGCCCGAUCAUCGGCCACCGCGCCGGCCGUAGAUC
This 224-nucleotide long non-coding RNA is filed under the name Gossypium raimondii (Peruvian cotton). RNAcentral describes it as "long non-coding RNA (GRAI_LNC001870)". The record is from RNAcentral. Lineage: Eukaryota; Viridiplantae; Streptophyta; Magnoliopsida; Malvales; Malvaceae.